Molecule: ribosomal RNA, 456 nt
Filed under: uncultured organism
Description: partial 16S ribosomal RNA
Rfam family: Bacterial small subunit ribosomal RNA
Source: RNAcentral
UACACUCCUGCGGGAGGCAGCAGUGGGGAAUUUUACGCAAUGGGGGAAACCCUGACGUAGCGACACCGCGUGAGCGAAGAAGCCCUUUGGGGUGUAAAGCUCUGUCAGCUGGAACGAAAACAAUGACGGUACCAGCAGAGGAAGCAUCGGCUAACUACGUGCCAGCAGCCGCGGUAAGACGUAGGAUGCGAGCGUUGUCCGGAUUUAUUGGGCGUAAAGAGUUCGUAGGUGGUUUGUUAAGUUUGGUGUUAAAGAUCGGGGCUCAACCCUGGGACUGCACUGAAUACUGGCAGACUCGAGUGUGGUAGAGGCUAGUGGAAUUCCCAGUGUAGCGGUGAAAUGCGUAGAUAUUGGGAAGAACACCGGUGGCGUAGGCGACUAGCUGGGCCAUAACUGACGCUGAGGAACGAAAGCCAGGGGAGCGAAUGGGAUUAGAAACCCUAGUAGUCCCAUGAU